AUUUAUAUAGUUUAAUUAAAACAUUACAUUUUCAUUGUAAAAAUAAAAAUUAAUUUUUUUUUUUAUAAAUA
This 71-nucleotide transfer RNA is filed under the name Grapholita delineana. Its description in RNAcentral is "tRNA-Glu". Lineage: Eukaryota; Metazoa; Arthropoda; Insecta; Lepidoptera; Tortricidae. The record is from RNAcentral.